ACACUCCUGCGGGAGGCAGCAGUGGGGAAUAUUGGACAAUGGGCGCAAGCCUGAUCCAGCCAUGCCGCGUGAGUGAUGAAGGCCCUAGGGUUGUAAAGCUCUUUCACCGGAGAAGAUAAUGACGGUAUCCGGAGAAGAAGCCCCGGCUAACUUCGUGCCAGCAGCCGCGGUAAUACGAAGGGGGCUAGCGUUGUUCGGAAUUACUGGGCGUAAAGCGCACGUAGGCGGAUCGAUCAGUCAGGGGUGAAAUCCCAGGGCUCAACCCUGGAACUGCCUUUGAUACUGUCGAUCUGGAGUAUGGAAGAGGUGAGUGGAAUUCCGAGUGUAGAGGUGAAAUUCGUAGAUAUUCGGAGGAACACCAGUGGCGAAGGCGGCUCACUGGUCCAUUACUGACGCUGAGGUGCGAAAGCGUGGGGAGCAAACAGGAUUAGAUACCCGAGUAGUCCC
RNAcentral lists this ribosomal RNA (447 nucleotides) under uncultured organism. RNAcentral describes it as "partial 16S ribosomal RNA". It matches the Rfam family "Bacterial small subunit ribosomal RNA", at positions 333 to 797 of the family's 1533-position model. The record is from RNAcentral.